This 482-nucleotide ribosomal RNA is filed under the name uncultured bacterium. RNAcentral's name for it is "partial 16S ribosomal RNA". It matches the Rfam family "Bacterial small subunit ribosomal RNA", at positions 30 to 507 of the family's 1533-position model. The record is from RNAcentral.
AUUGAACGCUGGCGGCAUGCCUUACACAUGCAAGUCGAACGGUAACGGGCCUUCGGGUGCCGACGAGUGGCGCACGGGUGUGUAAUACAUCGGAACGUGCCCGAUCGUGGGGGAUAACGAGGCGAAAGCUUUGCUAAUACCGCAUACGAUCUACGGAUGAAAGCAUGGGACCGCAAGGCCUUGCGCGGACGGAGCGGCCGAUGGCAGAUUAGGUAGUUGGUGGGAUAAAAGCUUACCAAGCCGACGAUCUGUAGCUGGUCUGAGAGGAUGAUCAGCCACACUGGGACUGAGACACGGCCCAGACUCCUACGGGAGGCAGCAGUGGGGAAUUUUGGACAAUGGGAGCAAGCCUGAUCCAGCCAUGCCGCGUGCAGGAUGAAGGCCUUCGGGUUGUAAACUGCUUUUGUACGGAACGAAAAGCCUUCUUUUAAUACAGGAGGGUCAUGAAGGUACCGUAAGAAUAAGCACCGGCUAACUACGUG